AGAGUUUGAUCAUGGCUCAGGAUGAACGCUAGCGGCAGGCCUAAUACAUGCAAGACGAACGGUAAGUUGAGUAGCAAUACUUAGCCAAGAGUGUCGUACGGGUGCGUAACACGUAUGCAACCUACCUAUACAGGAGGAUAGCCUAGGGAAACCUGGAUUAACCCUUCAUAGUAUUAUUGGAUGGCAUCAUUUGAUAAUUAAAACUGAGGUGGUAUAGGAUGGGCAUGCGUCUGAUUAGUUAGUUGGCGGGGUAAUGGCCCACCAAGACGAUGAUCAGUAGGGGUUCUGAGAGGAAGAUCCCCCACACUGGCACUGAGAUACGGGCCAGACUCCUACGGGAGGCAGCAGUAGGGAAUAUUGGUCAAUGGAUGCAAGUCUGAACCAGCCAUGCCGCGUGCAGGAAGAAGGCCUUCUGGGUUGUAAACUGCUUUUGCCAGGGGAGUAAAAUUUCCAUGCGUGGAAAACUAGAAGGUACCUGGUGAAUAAGCCACGGCUAACUACGUG
Molecule: ribosomal RNA, 504 nt
Filed under: uncultured bacterium
Lineage: Bacteria
Description: bacterial SSU rRNA
Rfam family: Bacterial small subunit ribosomal RNA
Source: RNAcentral